RNAcentral lists this ribosomal RNA (490 nucleotides) under uncultured bacterium. RNAcentral describes it as "partial 16S ribosomal RNA". It matches the Rfam family "Bacterial small subunit ribosomal RNA", at positions 28 to 507 of the family's 1533-position model. The record is from RNAcentral.
GAUGAACGCUAGCGAUAGGCUUAACACAUGCAAGUCGAGGGGCAGCAUGGUCUUAGCUUGCUAAGGCUGAUGGCGACCGGCGCACGGGUGCGUAACGCGUAUGCAACUUGCCUCACAGAGGGGGAUAACCCGUCGAAAGACGGACUAAUACCGCGUACACUCUAUGUUGGGCAUCCAAUGUAGAGGAAAUGAAAUUCGCUGUGAGAUAGGCAUGCGUCCCAUUAGCUAGUUGGUGAGGUAACGGCUCACCAAGGCGACGAUGGGUAGGGGAACUGAGAGGUUGAACCCCCACACUGGUACUGUGACACGGACCAGACUCCUACGGGAGGCAGCAGUGAGGAAUAUUGGUCAAUGGGCGAGAGCCUGAACCAGCCAAGUCGCGUGAAGGAUGACUGUCUUAUGGAUUGUAAACUUCUUUUAUACGGGAAUAACAAGAGUCACGUGUGGCUCCCUGCAUGUACCGUAUGAAUAAGCAUCGGCUAACUCCGUG